GGGUCAUUAGCUCAGGUGGUAGAGCAGCUGACUCUUAAUCAGCCAGUCCGGGGUUCGAAUCCCUGAUGGCCCACCA
Molecule: transfer RNA, 76 nt
Filed under: Bacillota bacterium
Lineage: Bacteria; Bacillati; Bacillota
Description: Firmicutes bacterium (anaerobic digester metagenome) tRNA-Lys
Rfam family: tRNA
About the family: Transfer RNA (tRNA) molecules are approximately 80 nucleotides in length. Their secondary structure includes four short double-helical elements and three loops (D, anti-codon, and T loops).
Source: RNAcentral